RNAcentral lists this ribosomal RNA (401 nucleotides) under uncultured Salpingoecidae. Its description in RNAcentral is "partial small subunit ribosomal RNA". It matches the Rfam family "Eukaryotic small subunit ribosomal RNA", at positions 30 to 432 of the family's 1831-position model. Lineage: Eukaryota; Choanoflagellata; Craspedida; Salpingoecidae. The record is from RNAcentral.
GCUUGUCUCAAAGAUUAAGCCAUGCAUGUCUAAGUAUAAACAAAUCUAUACUGUGAAACUGCGAAUGGCUCAUUAUAUCAGUUAUAGUUUAUUUGAUGGUUCUUGCUACUUGGAUAACCGUAGUAAUUCUAGAGCUAAUACAUGCAUCAAACCCCGACUUCUGGAAGGGGUGUAUUUAUUAGAUGGAAACCAAUGCGGGGCAACCCGGUAUAAGGUGAUUCAUAAUAACUUUGCGAAUCGCAUGGCCUUGCGCCGGCGAUGAAUCAUUCAAAUUUCUGCCCUAUCAACUUUCGAUGGUAAGGUAUUGGCUUACCAUGGUCGCAACGGGUAACGGGGAAUAAGGGUUCGGUUCCGGAGAGGGAGCCUGAGAAAUGGCUACCACAUCCAAGGAAGGCAGCAGG